GGCGGUUCUCGGGUGAUGCACCCCGGAAUCGGGCUCUUUCCUCUCUGGUUCCAAGUGUGUCACCCGAGAACUGCA
Myotis brandtii (Brandt's bat) is the source of this 75-nucleotide non-coding RNA. The record is from Rfam. Lineage: Eukaryota; Metazoa; Chordata; Mammalia; Chiroptera; Vespertilionidae.